AAGCUCUUUUCAUUGCCUGUAUUAGUUAUUCCCUGGGCUCUCGGGCUGUUGUGGAGGAACCUGGGGGUGCAACUUUAAAGCAAAAACGUCUCCGCGCUGGCCAGCAGCGAGUUCAGGUAAAAUGUUUCCAAAAAGGUUAAAGAACUUUGCAUCUUGGAGACAGAGGAGGCAGGCUCUGGGAUCUUACAGGACUUGGAAUAAGAUGGUGACAAGGUCUUGUCCCAAAAGGUCAUUGCCGUGGGUGGCUGCCAGGCUGUGUCCUUCCACUCCAUCCAUCCACCUCCUGCUCCCAUUCAGGACAUACUGGGAAGGAACAGAGAGAGACAGGAGUUAUUUUUAGGCAGCAAACUGAGUUACAGCCCCGCUCUGCCCCCUGUUCCCACAGGGAGACGUGUCCAGCAGCAGCAGCAGCAUUUGAACCCUCUGCAUUGCUCCACCCUGCAAAUGCUCCCCCUGAAUGUCAGGAGAGCAUUCCCAGGGCCUCUGGCUCAGCUCUGGGAUCACUCCCUGCACGGAGCAGGGUCAGGAACCCGCUGGCAGAGGUGAAGGUCGGGGACACCACAGUGCUGGUGGCACCCGGAGCUGCCCGGGAGAGGAGAGGCUUUACCAGCUCCUGAACACUUUGGGAAUGUCCUGUUUGAUCCAACCAUCUCCUGGGGGUGUUCCCAAUCCAUGGGGCUGUUCCCACCCCCAAACACUGUUUGAGCUGAGGGAUAAAUCAAACAGAGUCCUUACCUUUCCCUC
Corapipo altera (White-ruffed manakin) is the source of this 744-nucleotide long non-coding RNA. RefSeq lists it as uncharacterized. The transcript is spliced from 3 exons. The record is from RefSeq and is a predicted model, not a curated record. Lineage: Eukaryota; Metazoa; Chordata; Aves; Passeriformes; Pipridae.